Molecule: ribosomal RNA, 804 nt
Filed under: uncultured archaeon
Lineage: Archaea
Description: bacterial SSU rRNA
Rfam family: Archaeal small subunit ribosomal RNA
Source: RNAcentral
GCUGCCGGGAUGGUCUAGCCAUGCGAGUCAUUGUAGCAUACAAGGCGGACGGCUCAGUAACACGUAGUCAACCUAACUCGUGGACGUGGAUAACCUCGGGAAACUGAGAAUAAACCACGAUAGAUCAUAGUGCCUGGAAUGGCUUAUGGUCCAAACAGUUUACUGCCAUGGGAUGGGACUGCGGCCUAUCAGCUUGUUGGUGAGGUAAUGGCCCACCAAGGCGAUUACAGGUACGGGCUCUGAGAGGAGAAGCCCGGAGAUGGGUACUGAGACACGGACCCAGGCCCUAUGGGGCGCAGCAGGCGAGAAACCUUAGCAAUGUGCGAAAGCACGACUGGGUCAGUCCGAGUGAUUCCUGAUAAAGGAGUCUUUUGCUUGUCCUAAAAGCACAGGUGAAUAAGGGGUGGGCAAGUCUGGUGUCAGCCGCCGCGGUAAUACCAGCACCUCGAGUGGUCAGGACGUUUAUUGGGCCUAAAGCAUCCGUAGCCGGCUCUGCAAGUCUUCGGUUAAAUCCACCUGCUCAACAGAUGGGCUGCUGGAGAUACUACAGAGCUAGGGAGUGGGAGAGGCAGACGGUAUUCAGUGGUAGGGGUAAAAUCCUCUGAUCCAUUGAGGACCACCAGUGGCGAAGGCGGUCUGCCAGAACACGUUCGACGGUGAGUGAUGAAAGCUGGGGGAGCAAACCGGGAUUAGAUACCCGGGUAGUCCCAGCUGUAAACGAUGCAAACUCGGUGAUGCAUUGCUUAUGGCCAAUGCAGUGCCGCAGGGAAGCCGUUAAGUUUGCCGCCUGGGAAGUACGGACGC